UCCUACCUCCCCAGCUGUUGAGUCUGCACAGCAGAUUCAUGCCCUCUCCCAAGUUCUAGCCAGAAGACUUUGCACUUUGUUAGAAUUAUUACCACAUUCAUCUGGAGGUUUCUUUCUCCCCGUGGUCUUUUCUCAGUUCUUCUGGCAGUCCUCCACUAGGAUCCCGCAUGAGACAAGUCAGAAACGGCUUCCCCAGGGACCCAGAAAACCCACAGGGCUUUUCCAGCUUCUUCCUGUAAUCCUGUAUUUCGUUGAGCUUUCUAAAUUGACUCAGCUCCAGAUUUUUAUCAUGAGAACCUGACGGCAUUCCUGGAAGUAAAGUACAUGAAAACUGACAGACUUCCCUAAGACUGCUACCCCUAAUGCAUGUUUAACUCUCAUGCUAGUCUUCACUUAGUUCUUAGGAAUGAAUCAGAAUGGCCAUUCAUCUGCUGCUACCAGUUUAUGACCAGUGAUUUCUGCUCCAAUAUCUCAGAGUGGAACUACAUUGGAAAUAAAGUCACUAAAGAGAUGAUUGUGUUAAUAUGAGAUUCUUAGGAUGGGAUCCUACUUCAACAUGACUGGUGGCAUUGUAAUAAGAAAACAUCUGGACACAUAAAGGGACAGCAGGGAUGAGUGCACACAGAGAAACAGCCAUGUGAGGACAUAUCCGGAAGGUGACCGUCUAUAAGCCAAAGAAAUAUGCCUCAGGAAUAACCAAACCCAUCAACACCUUGAUCUAGAACUUCUAGUCUCAAGAACUGUGAGAAAUAAAUUUCUGCUGUUUGAACUAUCCAUUGUGUGUUAGUUUCUUAUGGCAGCCUGAGCAAACUAUAACAGAACUCUUAGCUUUUUCUCAUGUCUCAGUUGCACUUAAUUGUCAUUUUCUGCAUCUCUACUGCAGAUUCUAGAUCACUUCAUUCUCAGCCACCAACUAUGCUGGAGUAGGUGGCAUACAUGGUAAAAUACUUAGCAUACUCAGACUAAUAUAAAUUUUUCUACCACUCAAUCUUGGUAACUUAGAGCAGUAACAAAAAUUUCAAAUGUUUAGACUCUGUUAUUAAAUUAUAGUUCAAGCAGUUACUAAGUUUCAUCGUAUUUUCUUGUGAUAAAUCAUUUAAAAGCAAAAUUGAAAAUCUACAAUAUAACUAUUCACUCUAGAUUAGUUAAACUAAUCUAGAGAGACAAAUGUCUGUGCUAUUGUUAGAGGAAACAAAACUGUGAAACAUAAUAUAUUGGCACCCAUGAUAAAUAAUUCUUCACCCAAUACUUGAGAAGUUUCACUGAAUUCCAUGAGAGGGAAAGAAAAAGUACAGAUAAGUACAUUUAAAGAAAUUACAUCUUAAAAUUCUAUUAAAAAUGAAUAAUGUAUGGGCUGAUCGUGGUGGCUCAAGCCUGUAAUCCCAGCACUUUGGGAGGCUGAGGCGGGCGGACACCUGAGGUCAAGAGUUCAAGACCAGCCUGACCAACAUGGAGAAACCCCAUCUCUACUAAAAAUACAAAAUUAGCCUGGCAUGGUGGCACAUGCUUGUAAUCCCAGCUACUCGGUAGGCUGAGGCAGGAGAAUCGUUUGAACCUGGGAGGCGGAGGUUGGGGUGAACUGAGAUCAUACCAUUGCACUCCAGUCUGAAAAAAAAAGAAAGAAAGACUAAUGUAUGAAAAGACAAUUACAUGGAUUGCCCUCUCCUCAGGAUAUCAGAAUUCUAAAAUCGACAAUUUAUUUUGAUUUGUGUAAUUAUGAAUAACCCCUUUUAUCUUUGUUUAAUCUAAGUUUUGUAUUAUUGUUUUAAUAAUAGAGUAUUAAUGUUUUGUAUUCUUGAAGAGGAACUUAGAUUCAUAUAGAUGUAAUUGUAGGAAGAUUUUCUUUGCCUUUUGCAAAAUGCCAAUUUAAAAAGGGAGAAUGAAAGAAGAGUUCAGAAUCUAUAAGUGUUUUUAUUUACUACAUGCAUACACUCUGCUGUUGGAUAAGAGUAAGCAACAUUUAGGCUGGGGUCAUCAUUUAAUAUUUUAUAUGAAUUUAUCUGAGACCAUAAUGGGGCAAGAAUAUCUCUACUCUAAAUAGCAGCCAAAUGUUAGUUAAUGCAGAUAAGGACAAAACUAAUAAAUUCCCUUUUAUUGUUGCAUUAAUUUAUUUAACAUGUAUCUUAUAUAUCCACAUGCAUUCCAAGAAAUGGAGGACAUUAUGUUAAGUGAAAUAAGCCAGGUACAGAAAGACAAAUUUUCCAUGUUCUUCCUCAUAUGUGGGAGCCAAACAUUUAAAAAAUUAAACUCAUGGAGAUAGAGAGUCAAAUGAUAGUAAUCAGAGGCUGGGAAAAGUAACAAGGAGGGUGAUAUAAAGUGAGGAUAGCUAAUGGGUACAAAAAUAUAGUUACAUAGAAUGAGUAAGAUGUAGUAUUCAGUAGCACAACAGGGUGAAUAUAGUUAAUAAUAAUCUAUUGUAUAUUUUGAAAUAACUAAAACAGUGGAAUUGUAAUGAUCCUAACACAAUAAUGAAUGCUUGAGAUGUUGGCUAUCCCAAUGACUCUGAUUUGAUUAUUACACAUUGUAUGCCUGUUUGAAGACAUCAUAUGUACUUCAUAAAUGUAUACAACUAUAAUGUACCCAAAAUAAUAAAAAGUAAUUUAUAAAAAGAACUGUGAACUUGAGAUGCUGCAAUAAAUAAGGGAAAUGUCACCGUGUUCAGUGAGGUUAUAAUUUAGUGUUGGAUUCCAUUUUUAAAAAAGCAUGGUUUGUGUGA
Molecule: long non-coding RNA, 2716 nt
Organism: Pongo pygmaeus (Bornean orangutan)
Lineage: Eukaryota; Metazoa; Chordata; Mammalia; Primates; Hominidae
Exons: 3
Source: RefSeq, a predicted model, not a curated record